CAAAAACAUCUCUCUUUGAUAAAUUAAAGAAUAAAGAGUAGUCCCUGCCCGGUGAUAUAAUUUAACGGCAGCGUUAAGCUUUAAAGUAGCGUGAUAAGUCGUCCCUUAAUUGGGGUCUGGUAUGAAAGGGUUGACGGGGGGUGGCUGUCUCAAGGUUUUAUUAUGAAAUUUCCUUCCCAGUUAAAAGUCUGGGAUUUGCUUAAAAGACGAGAAGACCCCAUCGAGCUUGGAUAGUUUUACUUUUUAAAAGUAUGUUAAUAUUUUAUUGGGGCAAUAUUGGAGAAAAAAAACCUCUAAUAAAUUAAAUCAUGGAUCCUCAAUGUUGAGAUAAAAGGAAAAAGCUACCGUGGGGAUAACAGCGUAAUAUAACCUGAGAGUUCUUAUCAAAGGUUAAGAUUGCGACCUCGAUGUUGGACUAGGGGAUCGUCCUGGAGCAGGAGCUAGGGUGGAGGGACUGUUCGUCCUUUAAACCCCUACAUGAUCUGAGUU
This 489-nucleotide ribosomal RNA is filed under the name Laevicardium elenense. RNAcentral describes it as "partial 16S ribosomal RNA". It matches the Rfam family "Bacterial large subunit ribosomal RNA", at positions 1808 to 2611 of the family's 2925-position model. The record is from RNAcentral. Lineage: Eukaryota; Metazoa; Mollusca; Bivalvia; Cardiida; Cardiidae.